Molecule: transfer RNA, 87 nt
Filed under: Paracoccaceae bacterium
Lineage: Bacteria; Pseudomonadati; Pseudomonadota; Alphaproteobacteria; Rhodobacterales; Paracoccaceae
Description: Rhodobacteraceae bacterium tRNA-Leu
Rfam family: tRNA
About the family: Transfer RNA (tRNA) molecules are approximately 80 nucleotides in length. Their secondary structure includes four short double-helical elements and three loops (D, anti-codon, and T loops). Further hydrogen bonds mediate the characteristic L-shaped molecular structure. tRNAs have two regions of fundamental functional importance: the anti-codon, which is responsible for specific mRNA codon recognition, and the 3' end, to which the tRNAs corresponding amino acid is attached (by aminoacyl-tRNA synthetases). tRNAs cope with the degeneracy of the genetic code in two manners: having more than one tRNA (with a specific anti-codon) for a particular amino acid; and 'wobble' base-pairing, i.e. permitting non-standard base-pairing at the 3rd anti-codon position.
Source: RNAcentral
GGCCCCUUGCUGGAACUGGUAGACAGACCAGACUUAAAAUCUGAGGCUCGUAUGAGCGUGUGGGUUCGAGUCCCACAGGGGCCACCA